Sipha flava (yellow sugarcane aphid) is the source of this 2444-nucleotide long non-coding RNA. RefSeq lists it as uncharacterized. Lineage: Eukaryota; Metazoa; Arthropoda; Insecta; Hemiptera; Aphididae. The transcript is spliced from 3 exons. The record is from RefSeq and is a predicted model, not a curated record.
AUUAUUAGGUAUUGUUUUAGAUUUUAACUAUCGAUAGUAUUAUUUAUUUUCAAUUUACUUUUAUUUUUCCGUGAGGGAGGAGGGGAUUGCCCUAUGAAUUGUCAUACAUUAAGAGAGACCGGUGCUAGUUUGGUACCGAGGUAAGUUGACCAAGUCGAUUUUUAAAAUCAAGUGUUUAAGUUGGACACGUAUCAAUAGCAAUAUAUUAUGACCGUCGUUAUUUAUCACUGUACGAUUUGUAGUGAUUAUAUGAUUUUUCCUUAAUCUUGUUAUCAGUAAAUAUUGUUUUCAACUGUUGUUUUUUUUAACGUUUUAAAAAUGUUGUUUUUACCGAUUUAAAUUGUUUUUUUUUAACAUUAAAACAGAGUAAAAAAGGUAUGUAGAACACGAUUCAGGUAUUUAAUUUUAAUUUUACAGAAAGAAAAGAAUAGCAAAAAUGUAAUUUCCAGUUCCGUUUGCAUUUAACCUGAAGCUGAGUCAAAUGAAGAAAAAACGGAAGCAGAGGUUUUGGGCUAAUGAGACAUUACAAAAGCGAAAUAAAUAUAAUUGUGAAAAUCUGUUAUCUGAGCUACGAUUAAACCAACCUGAAGACUAUUGAAUUUUUAUUAAGAAUGAACGAGUCAUGCUAUGAUGAACUUUUAACUUAAGUUACUCCAUUAAUAAAAAAACAAAAUACAAUAAUGCGAAAAUCGAUUUCAUCCAGCCAAAGACUUUCCUGGACUCCGCGUUACUUAUCCACUGGUAACACACUUGAAGAUCUCAAAUUUAUUUUAUUAAUUUAUUUUUAUUGACAGUACGUCAAUAAAAAUCAAAUAUUUUUAAUUUGUUCAAUAUUAUUGAUCAAUCCUUCAAUACUGCCAAUACAUGAUCAAUAUUAUUGACAAUAUCAAAUAUUAAUCAAUAUUAUUGACCGUGUAUGGGCCGCCUAACAUCAGAAUUUAAACAAUACCGGUGGAAACAUGCGAUAUUGUAUUAUUGAUCGGAUAUUAUAAUUUUUAUAAAUAGAUCAACAGUCAAAAAGUUCUGUUUAUAAAUUGAUCACCAAAUUAACAGAUCUGCCUACGAAGUUUUGGAUAGAUUGUGAUUAUUAAUUAUUAUAUUGUUGUCAGUUAGUCACUUAGUAUUUAUUCGUCACAUGUUUGUGUAAAUUAUUUUAAAUUAAUACUAAAAUAUUAUUACACAUAAUAAAACAUUAGGUUUCAUGAAAAUAAAUAUUAACAUAAUUGUUAUGUUUCAUAUAUGAUAAAUACCUAUGAGUUAAUUAAAGAUAAGUUUAAAAUUUAGAAUUCCAUAGCAAGCGUGGAUCCAGGAGACUAAGGGGGCGCGCGCCUACUUCAAAUCCCCUAAAAAUACUUUUGUUGAAAUGUAUACCCCCCCCCAUCUUAGGAAAAAAAGUCUGACGAAGGUAUAUUCCUCGUCCCCAUAAUAUUACGUAAUUUUGAGUUUAGGUAGGUAUAAUAUUUCUUUAAGGAGUUUAGCCCCCCCUCCCACCAAUAAACGCUUAUAUGCUGAGCGUAUACCCUAGAAAAAAAAUUACGAAUACACCACUGGUAAUGAUCUUUGUUUUAACUUUUUUUUUUUUUGCUAUGAUUUUAGAACAUAAACAACCAAACAAAAAAUAAAAUUUAUAAUUAUCUGGAAUUGAUGAUAGAUUUAAACAAGAAACGUCGGAUUUAAUAACUGUUGUUGGUCAACUAAUUAAUUUGGAGUUGGAUUUAAUUCAUCUUGUAUAUACUUACAUACUAAACAAUCUGCUUAAGGCACUAUAAAAGUAUAUAGUAUAUUCUAUAGUACCCUAAAUUUAUUAUUAAUAAAUUUAAAGUUGAACGAUCUACAUAAUUAUGCACGUUAUUAUUGCAGUACAUGAAUACAAAUUCACACUGGCGUACAGUUAUAAUGCGGUCGGUUCGAUAUACUAGCAAUAUGAUAAUUUGGUCACGCACGUGAUUCCAAAAAAUAUAUAAUAAAGUACAGUUGAAAGCAAAUUAAAUCCAGUUGGAAUUAAUUGUUGCAGCGGUCGGGGUCAACUACAAAUCAUAAGUUUGCGGUGAAAUUCAUUAAACGCGAAAUUAAUCGAUUCAAACACGAUAUAAAAUAAAAUCCCUUCUUAUUGCACUACUAAAGGAACUGUUAUUUCAAAAUUUCAAGCUCAUACGUUAUAUCGAUAUUAAGAUGCGAUGAUCGAUCAGUGAAUGAGUGGUGUUUGAAUUAUAUACAUAAGUAUCUACUGGUUAUUAGUAUUAAUUUUAGUAUUUGUUUACCAGUACGACUGCGGUGUUAUAGAAUCGACUUAUUAUUUUUCAAGCCGCAACAGAAUACAAAGAAAAAAAUAUUCCGGGACGCAAUUUACUGCGACCCGUUUACGUAUACAAGAGGCUGUUUGCGCAGUUCCAGUGGUUUGAACGCUUGUCGGUAUACGGACGUCAACCUCCAGUGUUCCGGGU